UACAAUGCGGGAAACCGUGAUAGGGGAACUCUGAGUGCCCGUUAAAUCGGGCUGUCCAUCAGUUUAAACAACUGGUGAAGAAAGGGCCGGGCAAGACCGGUGCCAGCCGCCGCGGUAAUACCGGCGGCUCGAGUGGUGGCCACUAUUACUGGGCUUAAAGCGUUCGUAGCUGGUUUGUUAAGUCUCUGGGGAAAUCUUCCGGCUUAACCGGAAGGCGUCUCAGGGAUACUGGCAGACUAGGGACCGGRAGAGGUGAGGGGUACUCCAGGGGUAGGAGUGAAAUCCUGUAAUCCUUGGGGGACCACCUGUGGCGAAGGCGCCUCACCAGAACGGYUCCGACAGUGAGGGACGAAAGCUGGGGGAGCAAACCGGAUUAGAUACCCGGGUAGUCCCAGCCGUAAACGAUGUGCGUUAGGUGUAUCGGUGACCACGAGUCACCGAGGUGCCGAAGAGAAAUCGUGAAACGUACCGCCUGGGAAGUACGGUCGCAAGGCUGAAACUUAAAGGAAUUGGCG
RNAcentral lists this ribosomal RNA (515 nucleotides) under unidentified euryarchaeote. RNAcentral describes it as "bacterial SSU rRNA". It matches the Rfam family "Archaeal small subunit ribosomal RNA", at positions 351 to 870 of the family's 1478-position model. Lineage: Archaea; Methanobacteriati; Methanobacteriota. The record is from RNAcentral.